Molecule: long non-coding RNA, 554 nt
Organism: Oryzias melastigma (Indian medaka)
Lineage: Eukaryota; Metazoa; Chordata; Actinopteri; Beloniformes; Adrianichthyidae
Exons: 2
Source: RefSeq, a predicted model, not a curated record
CAGUUGCUGAUUCAUGCAGAUCCCACAGAGGUGCAAACCCGGCCUUGUGUGACCUCAAGUGCCAACUGUUACAGUGCUACACCACCGCAGAGCCAGGAGGGGUGUUACAAGCUGCUACAGCCUGCCCUGGAAACUGCGGGGUGCAACCUGGACAGGUCCUGUGGCUGAAGCGAGUGCGCCCACUGGCUGGUCGGCAGACAGCAAAGCGGUGGCAGCAGAGAGGCGAGAAUCUCUCAGUCACCUGCUCGGGCAUUUUUGUUAUUUUGUUUCAUCAUCCUCCUAUUGUCUUUUCUCUUUUGACAAACAUGGAGUUUUUUUUUGUUUGUUUUUUUGUUUUUUUUACAAUUAAGUGGAAUGUCUGCUGCUCUUUUUUGGACUGUUGUCCACCACUUCCAUAUCUGUGACCUAUUUUUAACAGUAAGUGAACAGUGGAAAUUUCAUUUUCAAGACAAGGAAAAGUUAUAUUCAAAACAGACAUAUUAAACACAAAAGUAAAAGUUGUAUUCUUAUUUAUUUAUUUAUUUAUUUGCAAAGCUGUGUAGAGUAUGGAUUUG